AUGGCACCAGACAGCUCCACCGCCCUACGCUCGCCCAUCCAACCGCAUCCGUCGUCGAUAUGCAGCUGCACCAUGCCGGCCAAACUCGUCGUCAUCUAUUCGGUAGAUACAACGCCGCACCACCUGGCAACCUCCACACAAUCGCCACUGCUGGAGGUACUCGUAGCCCAUCAUCCACAACAUCUCUCCCCCGAACAGCAGGUCCUCCAAAGACGGCGCCUCCAUGAAGGAUACAACGCGCAGGACGUCGCCGCCACCAAAUCCAGACUGAAUUUUGGACUUUCGUCCGGGAGGGGUUCGGAGGUGGAUAGGAGAGACCUCGGCUUCGCCUCCACGGAGGGUAAUGGCAUCGAGUGA
Molecule: ribosomal RNA, 357 nt
Filed under: Triticum aestivum (bread wheat)
Lineage: Eukaryota; Viridiplantae; Streptophyta; Magnoliopsida; Poales; Poaceae
Description: partial small subunit ribosomal RNA
Source: RNAcentral